UCUAACACCCCUGGAAAGGACUGCAAUGGGGUUUGGCACAGGACUGUGGGUCCAUUGGCUGCAGGUUCAAGUCCACACCUGGGGCGCACAGCAGGAGCUGGGACGCACAGCCAGAGGCCUGGCAGAUCUGGGAUUAUGUGGAUCUUGGAUGUCCAUUUGGGACAGGGCUGAUGUGGAAAAUAUCAAAAGACACGCUAACUAUUUUGAACAUUGAUGACAUUGAGGCACUGGCUACUGAGGAAGAGGACGGUGUAUAAUAUGCAUGACAUUGCUAAGCUGUUUAACCAAACCCAGUGCUGUCAUCGAGAGCUAACGAAAACAACGUAAAGCCCUGUGCUUUCUUGUUCAACUCAGAAGCCAAAUGUUCAUCAAUCACGUCUACAUGGUGAGUAACAGUUCUUCGGGACAAGCUAAUGUUCUCAAAUUUGUUUUGGAAUUCCGGGCACAGCAUGACAGCAACAUCACCCAUGCAUUCUUUCAAAAACUCCCCUUCAGCAAAAGGCUUAUUUUGUUUAGCGAUUUUAAAUGCCAAAACAUAACUUGCCAAAUUGCAGAUUGUCGCACAUAAAGCUGAGUUUUUAAGUUCGUGGUGAGUGUCUCAGCUUUUCUUGCCCUUUCCUCGGUUGUUAAAUUGCUGCCAUAAUUAGGAUGUUUCAUUGAAAAAUGGCAAUUCAAGUUGUACUCCUUGAACACCGCGAUGCUCUCCUGACAAAUCAGGCAAACAGCCUUCGAGUUCACGUUUGUGAAAAAAUAUUUUGUGUUCCAUUCUUUGUUGAAAACCAGACACUCAUUGUCCACUUU
Molecule: long non-coding RNA, 801 nt
Organism: Terrapene triunguis (Three-toed box turtle)
Lineage: Eukaryota; Metazoa; Chordata; Testudines; Emydidae
Exons: 3
Source: RefSeq, a predicted model, not a curated record